AAACUUUCAACAACGGAUCUCUUGGUUCUGGCAUCGAUGAAGAACGCAGCGAAAUGCGAUAAGUAAUGUGAAUUGCAGAAUUCAGUGAAUCAUCGAAUCUUUGAACGCACAUUGCGCCCUCUGGUAUUCCGGAGGGCAUGCCUGUUCGAGCGUCAAA
This 157-nucleotide ribosomal RNA is filed under the name Sphaerulina quercicola. RNAcentral's name for it is "5.8S ribosomal RNA". It matches the Rfam family "5.8S ribosomal RNA". From Rfam's summary of the family: 5.8S ribosomal RNA (5.8S rRNA) is a component of the large subunit of the eukaryotic ribosome. The record is from RNAcentral. Lineage: Eukaryota; Fungi; Ascomycota; Dothideomycetes; Mycosphaerellales; Mycosphaerellaceae.